GACGAACGCUGGCGGCGUGCUUAACACAUGCAAGUCGAGCGGUAAGGCCUUUCGGGGUACACGAGCGGCGAACGGGUGAGUAACACGUGGGUGAUCUGCCCUGCACUUCGGGAUAAGCCUGGGAAACUGGGUCUAAUACCGGAUAAGCCCUUACGGGGAAAGAUUUAUCGCCGAAAGAUCGGCCCGCGUCUGAUUAGCUAGUUGGUAGGGUAAUGGCCUACCAAGGCGACGAUCAGUAGCUGGUCUGAGAGGAUGAUCAGCCACAUUGGGACUGAUACACGGCCCAA
This 287-nucleotide ribosomal RNA is filed under the name uncultured bacterium. RNAcentral's name for it is "partial 16S ribosomal RNA". It matches the Rfam family "Bacterial small subunit ribosomal RNA", at positions 28 to 334 of the family's 1533-position model. The record is from RNAcentral.